Molecule: long non-coding RNA, 1543 nt
Organism: Ictalurus punctatus (channel catfish)
Lineage: Eukaryota; Metazoa; Chordata; Actinopteri; Siluriformes; Ictaluridae
Exons: 2
Source: RefSeq, a predicted model, not a curated record
GAACUGUAGCAACACGGAUCACUUGCAUUGAGUCCUACAUCACAUUCCUCUCCUUUCUCCACGAUCCGGUUUCCACAGAUUGGUUGAUCGCUGACUGGUGGGUUCCAACACACACACACACACACACACACACACACACACACACACACACACACACACACACACACACACACACAGAGUUCAUGAGAGUUCUUUUCAAGUCAAUCAUUUGUAGAGAUUUCAUUUGCAGAUUUCUGUGUAACAGCAAAACACAAAAACAAACAAAAAAGCAACAGCAAAUCAGAAAACAAAAAUGAAAACACAACAGCAAAUUAAGGAACACAUCAGAAUGUUUUGGACAUGGCAUAUGUAUGAGUAUCACAAGGAGAAAAAUAAAAAGAAAUUUUCGGUUAUCUAGUUAGCCUUAAAAAAAAAAAGUUUCAAUGCGAUGUUACUUAUGUUAUUAUAGUGAGGACUAAUUCUUUCUUCUGACUAAAAUGGCUUCCUGUUUUUUUUUCUUUUGGUUUUGUUGUUGCGUUUUCUGAUUUGCGGCCAUGUUUCCAAAUUAACUGUAGAGUUUCUGAAUUUGCUGUCCUGUUUUGUAAUUUGCCAUCAUGAUUAAGAAUUUGAAUUAUGUUAGGUAAUGUUUCCGAAUUUGCUAUUGUGUUUUGGAACUGGCUUUCAUGUUUCCAAAUGUACUUUUUUGCUUGUUGUAUUCUUGAUUUGUCUUAUUGUUGUUGUUAUUGUUGUUUACACAUAAAGGCCAACUUCCAGAUUGUAAACUGAGACAUGUUCAGACAAAUUAUCAAGAUCAGGAACGGGCCGUACAGAGCAAUCGGCUCAUGUGCUGGAGGCUGCACGGUGAGAAACGUUCGCUGUUCUCCUUCACCUCAUCUGCAGCAUGUGGGAACAUCAGGAAGUGUCCUUUGCCUUCAGUGAUUCCCAGAUCACCACAGUCUGCACCUUCAUCAUGCUAACAUGCAAACAUAGAGACAGUGACCUUGACGCUGAGUGUGGGUUUACUCGGGUUAUUAAUUGAAUCAGGGUAUUAAUUUUAUAUAACAACAGCUCUGACCAUAAUGCAGCUUCAAAUAACAGGUUUAUAUUAGUGUACUUGUUCUAAUAUAUGCUAAAUAGUUAUAUAUAAUAUGUAACUUAGGAUGGAUGGAUGCUAUUCAAAACAAUUUUUUUCAAAAGCAGUCACUGUUUUUUAUCCUUAUGCUGCCAAAUGUUUCAAACACUACAAUAACAAUUUUGUUCAUCACAGUGCACAGGUUCUGAAGUUCUGUUCUCUGCUCAGUUAAAAUUUGGCAAUGAUAGGUUCGUGCUGUGGAGUCUAUUUUGUGAGAUCAUUAACUGCACUUCCCAAACCAGUUUCAUACAAAAUACUAGGAGAAUCUUUAAAAAAAAUAAAUAAUAACAUAGAAAUGUCACACCCCCUUUAAGUGUCAUACAUUUUGUAGUAUUACAACCUGGAAUUGAAAUGGACUUAACUUGUAUAUAAAUUUUAUAUCAUGAAUCUACACAAAAUAGCCCAUAAUAUUAAAGUGAAAUUAAAAAUGUG